Molecule: ribosomal RNA, 301 nt
Filed under: uncultured bacterium
Lineage: Bacteria
Description: partial 16S ribosomal RNA
Rfam family: Bacterial small subunit ribosomal RNA
Source: RNAcentral
CAGCCGCCGCGGGAAUACGGAGGGGGCUGGCGUCGUUCGGAAUUACUGGUCGUAAAGCGCACGCAGGCGGCUCGAUAAAUUAGAAGUGAAAGCCUUGGGCUUAACCUGAGAAUUGCUUUUAAGACUGUCGAGCUAGAAUCCAGAAGAGGGUAGUGGAAUUCCGAGUGUAGAGGUGAAAUUCGUAGAUAUUCGGAAGAACACCAGUGGCGAAGGCGACUACCUGGUCUGGCAUUGACGCUCAUGUGCGAAAGCGUGGGGAGCAAACAGGAUUAGAGACCCCGGUAGUCCCUGUCUCUUAUAC